Molecule: ribosomal RNA, 200 nt
Filed under: uncultured bacterium
Lineage: Bacteria
Description: partial 16S ribosomal RNA
Rfam family: Bacterial small subunit ribosomal RNA
Source: RNAcentral
AGAGUUUGAUCCUGGCUCAGGAUAAACGCUGGCGGCGUGCCUAACACAUGCAAGUCGAACGCUCUGCGCAAGCAGGGAGUGGCGGACGGGUGAGGAACAUGUGGGUAUCUGCCCUUCGGUGAGGAAUACCGGCGAGAAAUCGCCGACAAGACCGCAUACGCUUCGCGAGAAGCAAAGUCGCAAGACGCCGGAGGAGGAGC